This 314-nucleotide unclassified non-coding RNA is filed under the name plant metagenome. RNAcentral's name for it is "partial contains 5.8S ribosomal RNA, internal transcribed spacer 2, and large subunit ribosomal RNA". The stretch from base 1 to 105 matches the Rfam family "5.8S ribosomal RNA", at positions 50 to 154 of the family's 154-position model. The record is from RNAcentral.
GAAAUGCGAUAAUUAGUGUGAAUUGCAGAAUUCAGUGAAUCAUCGAGUCUUUGAACGCACAUUGCGCCCCCUGGUAUUCCGGGGGGCAUGCCUGUCCGAGCGUCAUUGCUGCCCUCAAGCACGGCUUGUGUGUUGGGCUUCCGUCCCUGGCAACGGGGACGGGCCCAAAAGGCAGUGGCGGCACCAUGUCUGGUCCUCGAGCGUAUGGGGCUUUGUCACCCGCUCCCGUAGGUCCAGCUGGCAGCUAGCCUCGCAACCAAUCUUUUUAACCAGGUUGACCUCGGAUCAGGUAGGGAUACCCGCUGAACUUAAGC